GUGGGGAAUUUUGGACAAUGGGCGCAAGCCUGAUCCAGCCAUUCCGCGUGCAGGAUGAAGGCCUUCGGGUUGUAAACUGCUUUUGUACGGAACGAAAAGCCUCUGGUUAAUACCCGGGGGUCAUGACGGUACCGUAAGAAUAAGCACCGGCUAACUACGUGCCAGCAGCCGCGGUAAUACGUAGGGUGCAAGCGUUAAUCGGAAUUACUGGGCGUAAAGCGUGCGCAGGGGGUGAUGUAAGACAGUUGUGAAAUCCCCGGGCUCAACCUGGGAACUGCAUCUGUGACUGCAUUGCUGGAGUGCGGCAGAGGGGGAUGGAAUUCCGCGUGUAGCAGUGAAAUGCGUAGAUAUGCGGAGGAACACCGAUGGCGAAGGCAAUCCCCUGGGCCUGCACUGACGCUCAUGCACGAAAGCGUGGGGAGCAAACAGGAUUAGAAACCCCUGUAGUCC
Molecule: ribosomal RNA, 450 nt
Filed under: uncultured bacterium
Lineage: Bacteria
Description: partial 16S ribosomal RNA
Rfam family: Bacterial small subunit ribosomal RNA
Source: RNAcentral